GAUGAAGAACGCAGCGAAAUGCGAUAAGUAAUGUGAAUUGCAGAAUUCAGUGAAUCAUCGAAUCUUUGAACGCACAUUGCGCCCUCUGGUAUUCCGGGGGGCAUGCCUGUUCGAGCGUCAUUACAACCCUCAAGCUCUGCUUGGUAUUGGGCUCUGCCGGUCCUGGCAGGCCUCAAAGUCAGUGGCGGUGCCAUCCGGCUCCAAGCGUAGUAAUUCUCCUCGCUUCGGAGGCCGCGGUGCGUGCUAGCCAGCAACCCCCAAUUUUUUUCAGGUUGACCUCGGAUCAGGUAGGGAUACCCGCUGAACUUAAGCAUAUCAAUAACGGAGGA
This 329-nucleotide unclassified non-coding RNA is filed under the name soil metagenome. RNAcentral's name for it is "partial contains 5.8S ribosomal RNA, internal transcribed spacer 2, and large subunit ribosomal RNA". The stretch from base 1 to 120 matches the Rfam family "5.8S ribosomal RNA", at positions 35 to 154 of the family's 154-position model. The record is from RNAcentral.